This 99-nucleotide ribosomal RNA is filed under the name Fischerella sp. FACHB-380. Its description in RNAcentral is "partial 16S ribosomal RNA". It matches the Rfam family "Bacterial small subunit ribosomal RNA", at positions 1 to 108 of the family's 1533-position model. The record is from RNAcentral. Lineage: Bacteria; Bacillati; Cyanobacteriota; Cyanophyceae; Nostocales; Hapalosiphonaceae.
AAAACGGAGAGUUUGAUCCUGGCUCAGGAUGAACGCUGGCGGUAUGCUUAACACAUGCAAGUCGAACGGGGCUUUUCGGAGCCUAGUGGCGGACGGGUG